UGCCAAUGCAUCCAUUGCCCCCACUGGC
This 28-nucleotide non-coding RNA is filed under the name Homo sapiens (human). Lineage: Eukaryota; Metazoa; Chordata; Mammalia; Primates; Hominidae. The record is from RNAcentral.